RNAcentral lists this small RNA (117 nucleotides) under Cercocebus atys (sooty mangabey). Its description in RNAcentral is "Metazoan signal recognition particle RNA". Lineage: Eukaryota; Metazoa; Chordata; Mammalia; Primates; Cercopithecidae. RNAcentral also lists the same sequence under 2 other names. The record is from Rfam by way of RNAcentral.
GCCGGGCAUGGUGGCUCAUGCCUGUAAUCCCAUCACUUUGGGAGGCUGAGGUGGGUGGAUCACUUGAGGACAGGAGUUCAAGACCAGCCUGGCCAACAUGGUGAAACCCCAUCUCUA